UACGAAGGGGCUAGCGUUGCUCGGAAUGACUGGGCGUAAAGGGCGCGUAGGCGGAUGGCACAGUCAGAUGUGAAAACUUCCCGGGGCUUAACCUGGGGCGUGCAUUUGAUACGUGUUGUCUUGAGUUCGGAAGAGGGCGUGGGAAUUCCCAGUGUAGAGGUGGAAAUUCGAUAGAUAUUGGGAAGAACACCGGUGGCGAAGGCGGCGACCUGGUCC
Molecule: ribosomal RNA, 216 nt
Filed under: uncultured bacterium
Lineage: Bacteria
Description: partial 16S ribosomal RNA
Rfam family: Bacterial small subunit ribosomal RNA
Source: RNAcentral